GCCUCCAUAGCUCAGUGGUUAGAGCUUCCAACCGGCACCUGGAAGGUUCAUGGGGGUUGAUUCCCGUUGGGGGGCU
Molecule: transfer RNA, 76 nt
Filed under: Desmophyllum pertusum
Lineage: Eukaryota; Metazoa; Cnidaria; Anthozoa; Scleractinia; Caryophylliidae
Description: tRNA-Ala
Rfam family: tRNA
About the family: Transfer RNA (tRNA) molecules are approximately 80 nucleotides in length.
Source: RNAcentral